GCUGAAGAACGUAGCGAAAUGCGAUAAGUAGUGUGAAUUGCAGAAUUCAGUGAAUCAUCGAAUCUUUGAACGCACAUUGCGCCCCAUGGUAUUCCGUGGGGCAUGCCUGUUCGAGCGUCAUUUACCCCCUCAAGCUCCGCUUGGUGUUGGGCGUCUGUCCCGCUUCGCGCGCGGACUCGCCCCAAAGGUAUUGGCAGCGGUCGUGCCAGCUUCUCGCGCAGCACAUUGCGCUUCUCGAGGCACCGGUGGGCCCGCGUCCAUCAAGCUCACCCCCCCAGUUUGACCUCGGAUCAGGUAGGGAUACCCGCUGAACUUAAGCAUAUCAAUAAGCGGAGGA
This 337-nucleotide unclassified non-coding RNA is filed under the name soil metagenome. RNAcentral describes it as "partial contains 5.8S ribosomal RNA, internal transcribed spacer 2, and large subunit ribosomal RNA". The stretch from base 3 to 120 matches the Rfam family "5.8S ribosomal RNA", at positions 37 to 154 of the family's 154-position model. The record is from RNAcentral.